Long non-coding RNA from Eleginops maclovinus (Patagonian blennie), 1034 nucleotides. RefSeq lists it as uncharacterized. The record is from RefSeq and is a predicted model, not a curated record. NCBI's taxonomy places the organism in Eukaryota, Metazoa, Chordata, Actinopteri, Perciformes, Eleginopidae. The transcript has 2 exons.
AACUUGGUAAACAAUAUUUAAACAACUGAUACCUGAUAGUUCUGUCCCGUUCGAGCGAAACGUUUCCGACUGUAGCUUUGUCCGUGACGGUAACAGCAGCGGUACUGUGUGGGUUAGUGAGGGGCUGCGCUGUCCGAGAUACAUAAGGUAGGAGCGCUCAUAGUUUUUAUAAAGUUAAGGUUUAUGGCGGCAUUUCUAUAACGUGGGCUUUGUUCUUUUAUAGAUUGUCCGCCACUGCUGUUUUGUUUCUUUGGUUUUAAUUUGUUAAAGUAGUUGGUAUUUGAUGCUGUUGUUUACAUUGUUGUUCCAAUUUCUAAUCUCCCAAAAGUAUUAGUGUUUUUAUUAUCUGUAUAAAUCUGUAUCCAAUGAGCUGAUAUACUGUUGUGUUUUGUGUCUUUUACGAGGGAUCCAGCCCCCUGACGUGAGCGGCAGCCUUGGGAGAUGGGAUUCAGAGGUGUUAGGCCUGUAGGAAGUAAUAAUCAAUAUUCCGAGUAACUGCAACACUGUCUUAUUUUGAAACACUGUCUUAUUCUGAAGUGCACUCUUAUUUUGAAAUGGUCAACUCGUAACCGGAUGCAAACGACAUUGAAUGCAACAUUGCUGGCGCUUGAGGCCGGACGGAGGAAAACUGUGGGUUUGAGCGUAGGUUUCCUCAACAAGCGAAAUGUAAAUACAGGGUGAACAGGGGAAUCUCUUGUGGUGUUAUACAUAAAACACACAAUGAGUAAUUCUCCUUAUUGCCACUGUAAUACCCUAAGAAGCGACUUGGCUUUAUGCCACGUAUACACUGAACUGGCCGGAAGUACUGUUACGACGUGAAGCAACCAAUAGGAAGAGGCAACCGCUGGACAAAGACCCAUCACAGAUGGGGUGGGGGUCUCUUUUGGCUCGGACCCACGGACAGUGAACACAUCGUGAAUUCUAUUCAUGUUUUGGGCCUGUUCUAGUGUGUGUAGAGCUUUAGGGCCACAGCUGUGAAACGAUUGUAAAACCUUCCACUACAUCUUUUUUAUUAAACACUCCUUUAUAAUUUU